RNAcentral lists this unclassified non-coding RNA (148 nucleotides) under uncultured Mycosphaerella. Its description in RNAcentral is "sequence contains ITS1". RNAcentral also lists the same sequence under 1 other name. The record is from RNAcentral. Lineage: Eukaryota; Fungi; Ascomycota; Dothideomycetes; Mycosphaerellales; Mycosphaerellaceae.
CUGAGUGAGGGCUCACGCCCGACCUCCAACCCUUUGUGAACCAAACUUGUUGCUUCGGGGGCGACCCUGCCGACGACUUCGUCGCCGGGCGCCCCCGGAGGUCUUCUAAACACUGCAUCUUUGCGUCGGAGUUUAAACAAAUUAAACA